RNAcentral lists this long non-coding RNA (2021 nucleotides) under Gadus morhua (Atlantic cod). RNAcentral's name for it is "lncRNA (ENSGMOG00000023473.1)". The record is from RNAcentral. Lineage: Eukaryota; Metazoa; Chordata; Actinopteri; Gadiformes; Gadidae.
CUGGUUAUAUAAAAGGCUUGGAUACAUCUGCUGUUUACCCCUGGGCCAAAUCCAACACAAACCCAGAUAGUUUGGACACCACCGGCACAGCAAAAACCUAUUGCCAGACAUAUUGCUGUGUUGAGUGUGGAAAAUUCCCAGAAUGCAUUAGUAGGCACCCGGUGAGGUAAUGUCAUGAUGAAUUGAAGAAACAGGUGUGGAUUGAUUGAUAGAUGGGUGCGGGGAACAGAACACAAUUGGAGAUUGAGCAAUCACAUACACGAACGAACGCACUGAAAGAUGACAUCAUCCACAGGCCAAAGAUUGGCAAAAGAAAAAGUUCUCUUAGACCCUGGAAUGUUCUCCUAUUGUCCGGCCAGACCCUGCCACACCCACACUCUGACCUGUCGAGACAGGGGGAGGGCCCUCUCACUCAGCCAGGCAUCUGGAGCUCUGCUUAAAGCAAGACGGAUGUGUGCGUCCAUCACCUGCAGGAAAACAACAGCAGCUGCAGCUGCAGCAACUUCUGUGGAAAUAAAGAAGGGUAGAAGGGUAAAUUGAUUAUGUUUGAAUUGACAUUUUUCUUAUUUUCAUCAGGCAUUCUAGUAGUCCCUUACCAACUAUGUUUUUUUUAAAUAUGAACGUGAUUCAAACAUGGGCACACACACACACGCACGCACACACACGCACGUACGCAUGCACACGCACACAUGCGCAAGCACACACAUAAACACACACACACACACACACACACACACACACACACACACACACACACACACACACACACACACACACACACACACACACACACACACACACACACACACACAGCUCCCUGGUUUCACAUCUACAUGUCAUUAAACACACAGCAAAAUAUCGAACACACACCUUUAUUCAUCAUGGUUAACCCGUCACUGAAGUCAGUUGCGUAAUCAGGGUCGUGCGUUUAUGUAGCUACAUGCAUCAAUCCGAUUAACGCUCUACCCACCGUACGGGCUCGUGUCCACUGUGCUGCAGGUUCCUCUUUAUCAGCCCGGGUUAUCUCGGCCACUCCCGCCCGUCGACGGAGAAUAGUUUGUACAGGCAUACCAUUGACGGCGGCUGAGCCUGCUCGUCGAGUUGGGUUAAUACAUGUUUGUGACACGGUUAGGCUUAAUCACCCUGUUCCAGUUCCGAGGAAUAAUGCUUUGUCUCGGGUGUCAUUUUUUCUUUUUAAUCUAAACCAAAUGAAUUCAUUAGACCAAUAAUGCCAAGUCCUUCAAAACAAACACAAUUAAACAAACAUUUAAGGACACCAUUGCCAAGCCGCAUCAGUUGGAUGGCAGCCAAUCUGUUGUAUAAGUGCUGAUAUUAUCUGAGAAGAUGGUUUGAAAGAAAUAGGAUUUCCUGUUCUCUGGGAAGAAUACCGAGAAGCAUAUGUGAGAUACAAUUCUGUCUCCUCCUCAGUUAGGCAUUGUGUUUUGUGUGUUGAGUAAUCAUGCACAACAUUUACCUACUGAUGUUCAAUAUUGACUGCAUUGUAUACACUUAACGGCCUUACCACCAUGGACAGGCUGAUCUCGUCUCGUACCGUACUGCAAUGUACAGUAUCGUAUUUGUAUUUGUAGUAUUUGUUUUUUUUGGUUGUUGUGAAAACGUGCCUUAUCAAGUUUUAGGUUGAAUCUAGCUUAUUUAUUUUGUUACCAUUGGAUUCAUUGGCCCUCAAAUAUGACAUUUCAUUGGGAGUCCAAUUCCUCCACUGAAAAGGGUGGAAAGUGCUUACAACUCUCUGCUAGGUAGCGAUCUAUGACACUUGUUUUUUAUUGGUCGUCAUGAAAAAAACAUAAGGGGUAACACUGUCGUUUUAAUCAAAUGAAACAUGAGGGGUAACACUGUCUUUUUUAUCAAAUGAAACAUAAGGGGUUACACUGUCGUUUUUUAUCGUCGUUUUAUAUCAGUCGUCAUGAAAAAAGACAUAAGGGGAAACACUGUCGUUUUUUGUCGGUCGUCAUGAAAAAAAACAUAAGGGGUAAGUUACCCCUUAUGUUUUUUUUCAUGAC